Molecule: ribosomal RNA, 116 nt
Filed under: Vibrio sediminis
Lineage: Bacteria; Pseudomonadati; Pseudomonadota; Gammaproteobacteria; Vibrionales; Vibrionaceae
Source: RNAcentral
CUUGGCGACCAUAGCGUUGUGGACCCACCUGAUUCCAUGCCGAACUCAGAAGUGAAACGCAACAGCGCCGAUGGUAGUGUGGGGUCUCCCCAUGUGAGAGUAGGACAUCGCCAGGC